AGAGAAACUUCUUACAUCUAUACCUAGGGAAAGAGUUCAUUUAUUUCAAUAAAUUAAAAUACCUGAAAGGAGAUACCCUUUUUGACUUCUGGAACUGUCACAAAGCAUUUUUCUUAUGAGAUAGAUUCAUGAAUCUUUCUUGUUCCUCUGCUUCUUAGAAGUCAUGGCUGUGACAUGAAUACAAGGCUCCAAUGACAGAGAUUAGGAAUUGAAGCAGUAGUGCAACAAAAUAUGCAGAAAGUAUAAAAACUAACAAAUCUUCACUAGUUAUUCAUGUUUUCGAAGAAUUUCAAUGAAUACAAGUACUCAACAGCAAAUGAUUUGGUCUGCCAAUAUUCAGGUGCUGGAAUGAGGAAAGGACAUGCUGCUUUGGGCGAGGGGAAAACAGUAGCAAAAAAAGUAGAUGUGCUGCUGCCUCUGCCACUGCUGCUGGCUCCACACACCUUGGAUUUUCCUGCCCUACACCUUGACCUCACACCCUGGAUGUCUGAAGAAUGUGGCCAUGCUGCCGGGGAAUUUCCAUUCCCUUUCAUCUCCAUUUAG
Molecule: long non-coding RNA, 543 nt
Filed under: Oryctolagus cuniculus (rabbit)
Lineage: Eukaryota; Metazoa; Chordata; Mammalia; Lagomorpha; Leporidae
Description: lncRNA (ENSOCUG00000031716.1)
Source: RNAcentral